RNAcentral lists this long non-coding RNA (655 nucleotides) under Gallus gallus (chicken). Its description in RNAcentral is "long non-coding RNA NONGGAT001413". Lineage: Eukaryota; Metazoa; Chordata; Aves; Galliformes; Phasianidae. The record is from RNAcentral.
GACAGAUUUCCAAGGCUGUGUGACAGCUCUGCCCCAAACCUGCUUGGGCACAUUCACUCCCUGCCUCCAUUUCCCAGUUCUUCUGUUUCUUCAUGGGCAGGGACGGUUUCUCUUUGUGUGGCUGUGCUGUAUCUGGUGUAAUAACAACUCUGCAUUGGUUGGGUGCUGCGUGUAAUGUGUAGGGUUGCAAUGCUUAUGGCUGCAAGGUGUAGGGCUGCAGUGCCUAGGGCUGCAAGGUGUAGGGCUGCAAUGCUUAGGGCUGCAAUGUGCAGGGCUACGAUGCUUAGGGAUGCAAGUUGUAGGGCUGCAAUGCUUAGGGCUGCAAUGUGCAGGGCUACGAUGCUUAGGGAUGCAAGGUGUAGGGCUGCAAGGUGUAGGGCUGCAAUGCUUAGGAAUGCAAGAUGUAGGGCUGCAGUGCUUAAGGCUGCAAGGCAUAUGGCUGCAAGGUGUAGGGCUGCAAUGCUUAGGACCACAGUGUGCAAUAGCUGUUGGAGAGGGGAUGUUGCAGCACCUGUGAGCCGUGUGUGCAGUUCACAGUGCCUCUGGGAAGUAGCUAUGCCACCUCUCUUUGAGACAGGGACAGCAGUGAAGCCAUAUGGUGUUUAUCGUCUUUGCCAACACACAAAGGAGGGGAAUAACCCCUGAAGGAACGUGG